This 253-nucleotide ribosomal RNA is filed under the name uncultured bacterium. RNAcentral's name for it is "partial 16S ribosomal RNA". It matches the Rfam family "Bacterial small subunit ribosomal RNA", at positions 524 to 776 of the family's 1533-position model. The record is from RNAcentral.
UACAGAGGGGGCAAGCGUUGUUCGGAAUUACUGGGCGUAAAGGGCGCGUAGGCGGCCCGCUAAGUCGAACGUGAAAUCCCCGGGCUCAACCUGGGAACUGCAUCUGUGACUGCAUUGCUGGAGUGCGGCAGAGGGGGAUGGAAUUCCGCGUGUAGCAGUGAAAUGCGUAGAUAUGCGGAGGAACACCGAUGGCGAAGGCAAUCCCCUGGGCCUGCACUGACGCUCAUGCACGAAAGCGUGGGGAGCAAACAGG